Cyprinus carpio carpio is the source of this 3616-nucleotide long non-coding RNA. The record is from Ensembl. Lineage: Eukaryota; Metazoa; Chordata; Actinopteri; Cypriniformes; Cyprinidae.
AGCCAGGCAGGAGAACCUACUAACCUCUUUAGUUGUUCAACUGCGAAUAUCAAAAUGAGUUAUAUACGUUUCUAGAAAAAUGCUUGCAACGAUUAGCGAACAUUAGCGAGCUGCUAGCAGCAUGAAUCAUGGCACAGGCCGGCUGCAGCUUUAUCUUUCCUGGCUGUGUAUAGCAUAGAUCCCAGGAGGUGCCUGACCCUGUCCCCAUCUCUCCGCUGCCAGCCUGCCAGAACACGCUGCACUAUCUCACACACUGCAUUUAUCCAGUGUACCGAUAAUAGGUUUACACCUGUUCCGUUGUUGCCUCCACUCAGGUCAGGACAGGGAAAAAUCACACUGGAAUACAUGCUGGGACGCUGAAUAUCCUCCUUACAUACAUGGAGUGGGCUACAGUCGCAACACGAGCAGCGUGUCGCCUCGCGGUUACGUGCCCAGCAGCACCCCGCAGCAGUCCAACUACAACACCGUCAGCAACACCAUGAACGGCUAUGGCAAUGCAGGGAAUGCCCAACCUGGGCGUGCCCAGCUCCACCGGGCUUCUUGAACGGCUCCUCAGCAAACUCUCCCUACGGCAGUAAGUAUCAAGUAGUUCCGUCGAGCCCUACCAUGGCAGCCUCUUCGGUCAGCCUCUCUUCAAACUGUAGCAGUACACACGGCAUUUUCUCAUUCUCACCUGCCAAUGUCAUCUCUGCAGUGAAACAAAAAAGCGCCUUUGCUCCAGUUGUCAGGCCCCAAGCAUCUCCACCUCCUUCUUGCACCAGUGCAAAUGGCAAUGGACUUCAAGCUAUGUCCGGACUGGUGGUCCCACCCAUGUAAAUUGCACCCCCUUUCCCUUGUAAAGCAGCCGUCUCCUCAUCGGGACGAAGCGUAGUACGUUAUGUGGAGGAUCCUCCUCGAAGUCGUCAAUUGUCAUGAAGUUAAUCAGCAACUAAUUCUGUUAUUUCACAGGAAAAAGACACUUUGUUUCAAAGAGUUUAUUCGAAAUUGACAUGCAAGCGACUUCGUCAUGAACAAUUUCAUUUUAUUGACUGAAUCUCUUAUCAUAUUUUCACGAUCUCGAAAUGGGAAAAAAAAGAACAAAACGUACCUAUUUUGUAUAAACAUUUCUGGUUUAAUCUUGGCUAUGUCUAGUUCUUGCUAUGUGUGGGAAGAAACAUUGUGGAUAUGCCAUUUGAUGAAAACACUGAUAAAAAAAAAAAUGUGUAAGAAUGUUUCUCUUUCACCGAUGUGCUGCCGCUGCACAUCUUCAUAAUGUGAAUUCAUUUUCCUUUUUUAUUAAUAUUAUUUUUUGUUUCUUCGUUUUGCUUUUUUUUUUUUUUUUUGAUUGUGGUAAUAAAAAGGGGGCCAAUAUAUACAGAGCCAAUAAACUGGAAAUAAUAUAAGAUAUAUGAUUUAUAAAUCAAAAAGAAAGGCAAGGAAGAAGGAACGAUGGGAGGAACCGUGAAAUGGUGAUCUUAUAUUGGUCAGUUCGUUCGGCGGAAAUGAACUUUGUAACUUAUUGUAGGUAGAAGUUGUAACUUUGAUAUUGCAAAAAUUAUUCUCUUGCCUUCAACAAGCACACUAACAGAGACGAAGCGCUACUGUCUGUUGGUUAAAAAAGAAAAAGAAAAAAAGAAAAAAAAAAGAAAGAAAAUAUUUCCACUGCUAAAGCUUCCUGUAAAGCAAGUGUGAUCUGCGAUGUUUUUCAACUUUUUUGCUAGCACUGUAUACUAUUGCAUUCUUAGGCUACUGUGAAGUCUGUUUCUUGUACCAGAAAGUUGUCCUUAUACCCUCUAGCUCCUUACUCCCUAAUGUGUUUUGUAUGUGGUUAUACAAUUGUAGACUUUUGUGAUUUUGCCAAAGUUGUAGCUAAAUAUUUAUACACUUGUCUUGAAUUUUCCAGAAUCACUUAAAUAUUUAGUACAGAGUUUUAUUCCUACAGUUAGGAGUAAAAUUGUCUUAUACAUUGCAACACUUUCACACAAACACUUGCGGUCACUAAGGGAAUUUUUUGUAACAUACCAAUUAUAAAUAUUGUAUUUAUCUUUGAAAUUUUGUAUAUUGCUUUCCAUCAUUUUCUUUGAUCUCACCUGUAUUGUUUUCCAUGGUCGAAAUUACAAUGAAGGUUUAGCCAAGAAUCAUCGCCUCCAUUCGAUGUUUUGUACCGAUAGAUCUGUGCAUUUCAUUUGUAAUUCAGAAUUUUUUUAUGCCAUCAGACCUUCCGUCCAUUUUGUUUGUUUGUUUGUUUGUUUAUUUGCUAUUUCGAGGAGCAGUCAAAACCAUUGUUUAUUUUUAUAUUAAUUUUUAAGUUAUCUAAAAAAAGUACUUUUUUGAAAGAAAACUGUUUGUUGUAUAGUCAAAUAAAUUGUUUGUGUCACCUGGCUGUAAUAAUAUUAGUAGAUAAAGUGCAUGUCAAGCGCCCCAGGGGGGAAAAUCCAAUUGUGGUUGUAAAUUUUGUUUUUGUAGAAUGUAAAAAGUCAUUUUUACCUGCCACCAUGACUUUGCCACAUAACUGAACCAUGUUUACAGGGAUCAAGAAGGAAAAAAAGGAAAGAAAAAAUUAUCUGCAAUGGAAAUAUACAUCAGUUACUAAUGUUUAUUAAAAUAUGUCAGAAAAAAGCUCUGUCAAAGGCUUUCCAGUGAAUCUCCUGAGAGGAACCUUUCUGCUGUUUUAAUGACAAACGUACACCACAGUGAAUCUCAUUAUUCCAUUCAGAUCAAUGGUGUAAAAAGCACAAACAUUUUUUACUAAAAUAAAAAAUAAUUAUUGUGACCCCUCAUCUUUUUGGACUAUUUUGUCAGCUUGUCUUUUUUAACAUUAAUUUUUACCCUAUUCCCUCAAGUAAAACAGCAUUCAAAGGGAAUGAAAACAAAUGAAAAGUUAGUUUUUGUAUCAUAUAUGGUCAACAAAGAUGAAGAUGUUCUAUAUUGUAAAUGUCAUUUUGUAAGUAACUCAUGACACCGUAGCAUAACCGAAAUCAUAUCACUUUCUUACACUUUUUUUUUCUCUCAAUGACAUUGAUUUUCCGAGUUGUGCCAAAAUCCGCAAAUGAACCCUAUCCAAGGCUUUCAUUUUGAGCUCUUUUUCUUUGCACUUCAGGGCUUUUGUAAAUGCUGUAAUGUUCAGCAGUGUGCUACACUUUCUGUUUCAAACCAAAAGCGGAUGUUUCCUCUUGGCAAUCGGCACAAGUUUCCUUUAGCUGCAGGAAGCAAAGGCAGCUGUAGAAGCAAAGAAAUGAUGAAUGUACAAUGUAUUUGCUUUGUGAUGGCUCAACAAAGCUCAGCCAAGUGGAGGAGCCGGUGAGGUCACCCUGAAAGUAAGAAAAACUCAAGGUUAUGUGAAGUGCAUUUGUGGAUUUCAUCAUUUCUGCAAACUGGUUUUGUCUUUUAGUCUAAUUAAGUACCCAUACUCUGAAGAACUGACUAAACACGAGCUCUGUAAGAACAAAUGCCUUUUUUUCUGGCUCAUGUAUGGUUUUAUCCGAGUUGUUUUAUGGCCACAUUUCUACAUUUUAUUGUACAAAGUUGUUUCAUUUUACAUAAUAUUUAAUUAAAGUAUUUCUUGUCUGUGACCAGUUUCUCCCUGCAAUCUUAUUUUUGUCUUUUCUCGCUCUAAAAGCAACCAUGCAUUCAAAAU